UACGUAGGGGGCAAGCGUUGUUCGGAAUUACUGGGCGUAAAGGGCGCGUAGGCGGCACGACAAGUCGGGAGUGAAAGCCCGGGGCUCAACCCCGGAGGGUCUCUCGAAACUGUCGAGCUAGAGUGCGGAAGAGGCAAUCGGAAUUCCCAGUGUAGCGGUGAAAUGCGUAGAGAUCGGGAGGAACACCCGUGGCGAAGGCGGCUCUCUGGUCGACAACUGACGCUGAGACGCGAAAGCGUGGGGAGCGAACGGG
This 253-nucleotide ribosomal RNA is filed under the name uncultured bacterium. Its description in RNAcentral is "partial 16S ribosomal RNA". It matches the Rfam family "Bacterial small subunit ribosomal RNA", at positions 524 to 776 of the family's 1533-position model. The record is from RNAcentral.